CAUUAAGAAGCUAUGUACAAGCACUAGCCUUUUAAGCUAGAUAGAGAGGGACCCCGCCCCUCCUUAAUGA
Molecule: transfer RNA, 70 nt
Filed under: Deroptyus accipitrinus (red-fan parrot)
Lineage: Eukaryota; Metazoa; Chordata; Aves; Psittaciformes; Psittacidae
Description: tRNA-Lys
Source: RNAcentral